ACUCCUACGGGAGGCAGCAGUGGGGAAUCUUAGACAAUGGGGAAACCGCUAGCAUCUAGCCAUGCCGCGUGAGCGAUGAAGGCCUUAGGGUUGUAAAGCUCUUUCAGCUGGGAAGAUAAUGACGGUACCAGCAGAAGAAGCCCCGGCUAACAUCCGUGCCAGCAGCCGCGGUAAUACGGAGGGGCGUAGCGUUGUUCGGAAUUACUGGGCGUAAAGCGCACGUAGGCGGAUU
RNAcentral lists this ribosomal RNA (232 nucleotides) under uncultured bacterium. RNAcentral's name for it is "partial 16S ribosomal RNA". It matches the Rfam family "Bacterial small subunit ribosomal RNA", at positions 335 to 581 of the family's 1533-position model. The record is from RNAcentral.